Long non-coding RNA from Hyla sarda, 339 nucleotides. RefSeq lists it as uncharacterized. NCBI's taxonomy places the organism in Eukaryota, Metazoa, Chordata, Amphibia, Anura, Hylidae. The record is from RefSeq and is a predicted model, not a curated record. The transcript is spliced from 3 exons.
AGAGCUAUGGGAUCAAAAUCCGACCCCCCCCCCCCCAACUACGCCAAACUUUUGUGGUGGGAUGAAUGGACCCGAUACAUUGAUGAUGUCUGUGGACAAGAAGAUAUUCUACCUAAGUCAAAACAAUUGGAAACUGAUGAUGUGAUAAAGCGAUAAGACGUUGGCGAGUCAGCACGUGGCGCUGCAGAUGACGAUGAUUCUCCCUUUGUAUUUCUGCCCUGAAGAGUUUAUUCCGAAUCUUCAGAAAGUGAAAAAAACACGUCGGUGAGCGGAGAAAAGUCCGGAAUAUGUAAUGGGCGGAAGAGAGGACGCGUCUGCGGAUUAUAGCAUAGAAAAAAG